GUACCUUGCUACUUUGCCGGCGAGCGGCGGACGGGUUAGUAAUGUCUGGGAAACUGCCUGAUGGAGGGGGAUAACUACUGGAAACGGUAGCUAAUACCGCAUAACGUCGCAAGACCAAAGAGGGGGACCUUCGGGCCUCUUGCCAUCAGAUGUGCCCAGAUGGGAUUAGCUAGUAGGUGGGGUAACGGCUCACCUAGGCCACGAUCCCUAGCUGGUCUGAGAGGAUGACCAGCCACACUGGAACUGAGACACGGUCCAGACUCCUACGGGAGGCAGCAGUGGGGAAUAUUGCACAAUGGGCGCAAGCCUGAUGCAGCCAUGCCGCGUGUAUGAAGAAGGCCUUCGGGUUGUAAAGUACUUUCAGCGGGGAGGAAGGUGUUGAGGUUAAUAACCUCAGCUAUUGACGUUACCCGCAGAAGAAGCACCGGCUAACUCCGUGCCAGCAGCCGCGGUAAUACGGAGGGUGCAAGCGUUAAUCGGAAUUACUGGGCGUAAAGCGCACGCAGGCGGUCUGUCAAGUCAGAUGUGAAAUCCCCGGGCUCAACCUGGGAACUGCAUUCGAAACUGGCAGGCUAGAGUCUUGUAGAGGGGGG
Molecule: ribosomal RNA, 593 nt
Filed under: Enterobacter sp.
Lineage: Bacteria; Pseudomonadati; Pseudomonadota; Gammaproteobacteria; Enterobacterales; Enterobacteriaceae
Description: bacterial SSU rRNA
Rfam family: Bacterial small subunit ribosomal RNA
Source: RNAcentral